GCCGAGGUGGCGGAAUUGGUAGACGCACGGGACUCAAAAUCCCGCGCCGAAAGGCGUGCCGGUUCGAUUCCGGCCCUCGGCACCA
RNAcentral lists this transfer RNA (85 nucleotides) under Burkholderiales bacterium. RNAcentral's name for it is "tRNA-Leu". It matches the Rfam family "tRNA". From Rfam's summary of the family: Transfer RNA (tRNA) molecules are approximately 80 nucleotides in length. Their secondary structure includes four short double-helical elements and three loops (D, anti-codon, and T loops). Further hydrogen bonds mediate the characteristic L-shaped molecular structure. tRNAs have two regions of fundamental functional importance: the anti-codon, which is responsible for specific mRNA codon recognition, and the 3' end, to which the tRNAs corresponding amino acid is attached (by aminoacyl-tRNA synthetases). tRNAs cope with the degeneracy of the genetic code in two manners: having more than one tRNA (with a specific anti-codon) for a particular amino acid; and 'wobble' base-pairing, i.e. permitting non-standard base-pairing at the 3rd anti-codon position. The record is from RNAcentral. Lineage: Bacteria; Pseudomonadati; Pseudomonadota; Betaproteobacteria; Burkholderiales.